AGCGAACGCUGGCGGUAUGCUUAACACAUGCAAGUCGAGCGAGAAAAAUGGCUUCGGCCAUGAGUACAGCGGCGGACGGGUGAGUAAUACAUGGAUAAUCUGCCUUUAGGACUGGGACAACCCAGGGAAACUUGGGCUAAUACCGGAUAAGACCACAGAAUCUCCGGAUUCAGUGGUAAAAGGUGGCUUCGGCUAUCACCUAUAGAUGAGUCCAUGUCCCAUCAGGUAGUUGGUGAGGUAACGGCCCACCAAGCCUAAGACGGGUAGCCGACCUUAGCGGGUGAUCGGCCACACGGGGACUGAGACACGGCCCCGACUCCUACGGGAGGCAGCAGUGGGGAAUAUUGGACAAUGGGCGCAAGCCUGAUCCAGCAAUACCGCGUGAGGGAUGAAGGCCUUCGGGUCGUAAACCUCUGUCAGUUGGAACGAUGGGUUUGUAGGUUAAUACCCUGCAAACUUGACGGUACCUUCAAAGGAAGCCCCGGCUAACUCCGUG
Molecule: ribosomal RNA, 496 nt
Filed under: uncultured bacterium
Lineage: Bacteria
Description: bacterial SSU rRNA
Rfam family: Bacterial small subunit ribosomal RNA
Source: RNAcentral